GCGGGUGAUGGAUGGGUACGUUUCGACGACGCUAAUACCGCAUACGUCCUACGGGAGAAAGCAGGGGACCUUCGGGCUUGCGCUAUCAGAUGAGCCUAGGUCGGAUUAGCUAGUUGGUGAGGUAAAGGCCUACCAAGGCGACGAUCCGUAACUGGUCUGAGAGGAUGAUCAGUCACACUGGAACUGAGACACGGUCCAGACUCCUACGGGAGGCAGCAGUGGGGAAUAUUGGACAAUGGGCGAAAGCCUGAUCCAGCCAUGCCGCGUGUGUGAAGAAGGUCUUCGGAUUGUAAAGCACUUUAAGUUGGGAGGAAGGGCAGUAAGUUAAUACCUUGCUGUUUUGACGUUACCGACAGAAUAAGCACCGGCUAACUCUGUGCCAGCAGCCGCGGUAAUACAGAGGGUGCAAGCGUUAAUCGGAAUUACUGGGCGUAAAGCGCGCGUAGGUGGUUUGUUAAGUUGGAUGUGAAAGCCCCGGGCUCAACCUGGGAACUGCAUCCAAAACUGGCAAGCUAGAGUACGGUAGAGGGUGGUGGAAUUUCCUGUGUAGCGGUGAAAUGCGUAGAUAUAGGAAGGAACACCAGUGA
RNAcentral lists this ribosomal RNA (587 nucleotides) under uncultured Pseudomonas sp. Its description in RNAcentral is "bacterial SSU rRNA". It matches the Rfam family "Bacterial small subunit ribosomal RNA", at positions 132 to 715 of the family's 1533-position model. The record is from RNAcentral. Lineage: Bacteria; Pseudomonadati; Pseudomonadota; Gammaproteobacteria; Pseudomonadales; Pseudomonadaceae.